CCUACGGGCGGCUGCAGUGGGGAAUAUUGCACAAUGGGCGCAAGCCUGAUGCAGCCAUGCCGCGGGUGUGAAGAAGGCCUUCGGGUUGUAAAGCACUUUCAGCGGGGAGGAAGGCGGUGAGGUUAAUAACCUCAUCGAUUGACGUUACCCGCAGAAGAAGCACCGGCUAACUCCGUGCCAGCAGCCGCGGUAAUACGGAGGGUGCAAGCGUUAAUCGGAAUUACUGGGCGUAAAGCGCACGCAGGCGGUCUGUCAAGUCGGAUGUGAAAUCCCCGGGCUCAACCUGGGAACUGCAUUCGAAACUGGCAGGCUAGAGUCUUGUAGAGGGGAGUAGAAUUCCAGGUGUAGCGGUGAAAUGCGUAGAGAUCUGGAGGAAUACCGGUGGCGAAGGCGGCCCCCUGGACAAAGACUGACGCUCAGGUGCGAAAGCGUGGGGAGCAAACAGGAUUAGAUACCCCAGUAGUC
Molecule: ribosomal RNA, 465 nt
Filed under: uncultured Klebsiella sp.
Lineage: Bacteria; Pseudomonadati; Pseudomonadota; Gammaproteobacteria; Enterobacterales; Enterobacteriaceae
Description: bacterial SSU rRNA
Rfam family: Bacterial small subunit ribosomal RNA
Source: RNAcentral